Molecule: ribosomal RNA, 439 nt
Filed under: uncultured bacterium
Lineage: Bacteria
Description: partial 16S ribosomal RNA
Rfam family: Bacterial small subunit ribosomal RNA
Source: RNAcentral
CUACGGGCGGCAGCAGUGAGGAAUAUUGCACAAUGGGGGGAACCCUGAUGCAGCAACGCCGCGUGGAGGAUGACGCAUUUCGGUGUGUAAACUCCUUUUAUAUGUCAAGAAAAUGACGGUAGCAUAUGAAUAAGCACCGGCUAACUCCGUGCCAGCAGCCGCGGUAAUACGGAGGGUGCAAGCGUUACUCGGAAUCACUGGGCGUAAAGGACGCGUAGGCGGGUUGGAAAGUCAGGUGUGAAAUCCUACAGCUUAACUGUAGAACUGCACUUGAAACUUCUAAUCUAGAGUAUGGGAGGGGGAGAUGGAAUUAGUGGUGUAGGGGUAAAAUCCGCAGAUAUCACUAGGAAUACCUAAAGCGAAGGCGAUCUCCUGGAACAUUACUGACGCUAAGGCGUGAAAUCGUGGGGAGCAAACAGGAUUAGAUACCCUCGUAGUC